GAGGCAAAAUGUAGAAUUGCAAUAGAGUGGAUCUGGUCCCAAACAACUACAAAUCAUAUUGAAGACAAUAAUAAAAGACAAUAAAGUCAUCACGAAAGGAGAAGAAAAUGUCCUUUAUUGGGUUAUAGACUAGAGAGGAAGGUAGAAGGACAUAUGGAGGAAUAAAAGGGAAUAAGCAAAGGCAUUGAUAACUGAAGGAUAAACCAAAACACAUUUUGAGAAACCCAACAAGCUCAUUAUUC
Molecule: long non-coding RNA, 242 nt
Filed under: Mustela putorius furo (domestic ferret)
Lineage: Eukaryota; Metazoa; Chordata; Mammalia; Carnivora; Mustelidae
Description: lncRNA (ENSMPUG00000029641.1)
Source: RNAcentral